RNAcentral lists this ribosomal RNA (497 nucleotides) under uncultured bacterium. RNAcentral's name for it is "partial 16S ribosomal RNA". It matches the Rfam family "Bacterial small subunit ribosomal RNA", at positions 28 to 507 of the family's 1533-position model. The record is from RNAcentral.
GAUGAACGCUGGCGGCGUGCCUAAUACAUGCAAGUCGAGCGAACGGACGAGAAGCUUGCUUCUCUGAUGUUAGCGGCGGACGGGUGAGUAACACGUGGAUAACCUACCUAUAAGACUGGGAUAACUUCGGGAAACCGUAGCUAAUACCGGAUAAUAUUUUGAACCGCAUGGUUCAAAAGUGGAAGACGGUCUUGCUGUCACUUAUAGAUGGAUCCGCGCUGCAUUAGCUAGUUGGUAAGGUAACGGCUUACCAAGGCAACGAUGCAUAGCCGACCUGAGAGGGUGAUCGGCCACACUGGAACUGAGACACGGUCCAGACUCCUACGGGAGGCAGCAGUAGGGAAUCUUCCGCAAUGGGCGAAAGCCUGACGGAGCAACGCCGCGUGAGUGAUGGAGGUCUUCGGAUCGUAAAACUCUGUUAUUAGGGAAGAACAUAUGUGUAAGUAACUGUGCACAUCUUGACGGUACCUAAUCAGAAAGCCACGGCUAACUACGUG